GAUGAACGCUGGCGGCGUGCCUAAUACAUGCAAGUCGAGCGAACGGACGAGAAGCUUGCUUCUCUGAUGUUAGCGGCGGACGGGUGAGUAACACGUGGAUAACCUACCUAUAAGACUGGGAUAACUUCGGGAAACCGUAGCUAAUACCGGAUAAUAUUUUGAACCGCAUGGUUCAAAAGUGAAAGACGGUCUUGCUGUCACUUAUAGAUGGAUCCGCGCUGCAUUAGCUAGUUGGUAAGGUAACGGCUUACCAAGGCAACGAUGCAUAGCCGACCUGAGAGGGUGAUCGGCCACACUGGAACUGAGACACGGUCCAGACUCCUACGGGAGGCAGCAGUAGGGAAUCUUCCGCAAUGGGCGAAAGCCUGACGGAGCAACGCCGCGUGAGUGAUGAAGGUCUUCGGAUCGUAAAACUCUGUUAUUAGGGAAGAACAUAUGUGUAAGUAACUGUGCACAUCUUGACGGUACCUAAUCAGAAAGCCACGGCUAACUACGUGCCAGCAGCCGCGGUAAUACGUAGGUGGCAAGCGUUAUCCGGAAUUAUUGGGCGUAAAGCGCGCGUAGGCGGUUUUUUAAGUCUGAUGUGAAAGCCCACGGCUCAACCGUGGAGGGUCAUUGGAAACUGGAAAACUUGAGUGCAGAAGAGGAAAGUGGAAUUCCAUGUGUAGCGGUGAAAUGCGCAGAGAUAUGGAGGAACACCAGUGGCGAAGGCGACUUUCUGGUCUGUAACUGACGCUGAUGUGCGAAAGCGUGGGGAUCAAACAGGAUUAGAUACCCUGGUAGUCCACGCCGUAAACGAUGAGUGCUAAGUGUUAGGGGGUUUCCGCCCCUUAGUGCUGCAGCUAACGCAUUAAGCACUCCGCCUGGGGAGUACGACCGCAAGGUUGAAACUCAAAGGAAUUGACGGGGACCCGCACAAGCGGUGGAGCAUGUGGUUUAAUUCGAAGCAACGCGAAGAACCUUACCAAAUCUUGACAUCCUUUGACAACUCUAGAGAUAGAGCUUUCCCCUUCGGGGGACAAAGUGACAGGUGGUGCAUGGUUGUCGUCAGCUCGUGUCGUGAGAUGUUGGGUUAAGUCCCGCAACGAGCGCAACCCUUAAGCUUAGUUGCCAUCAUUAAGUUGGGCACUCUAAGUUGACUGCCGGUGGCAAACCGGAGGAAGGUGGGGAUGACGUCAAAUCAUCAUGCCCCUUAUGAUUUGGGCUACACACGUGCUACAAUGGACAAUACAAAGGGCAGCGAAACCGUGAGGUCAAGCAAAUCCCAUAAAGUUGUUCUCAGUUCGGAUUGUAGUCUGCAACUCGACUACAUGAAGCUGGAAUCGCUAGUAAUCGUAGAUCAGCAUGCUACGGUGAAUACGUUCCCGGGUCU
Molecule: ribosomal RNA, 1372 nt
Filed under: uncultured bacterium
Lineage: Bacteria
Description: bacterial SSU rRNA
Rfam family: Bacterial small subunit ribosomal RNA
Source: RNAcentral